RNAcentral lists this transfer RNA (72 nucleotides) under Caudoviricetes sp. RNAcentral's name for it is "tRNA-Ile". It matches the Rfam family "tRNA". From Rfam's summary of the family: Transfer RNA (tRNA) molecules are approximately 80 nucleotides in length. Their secondary structure includes four short double-helical elements and three loops (D, anti-codon, and T loops). Lineage: Duplodnaviria; Heunggongvirae; Uroviricota; Caudoviricetes. The record is from RNAcentral.
UGUGGCAUAGUACAACGGCUAGUACAAACGACUGAUAAUCGUUAAAUGAUGGUUCGAUUCCAUCUGCUACAA